CCUACGGGUGGCAGCAGUGGGGAAUAUUGCACAAUGGGCGCAAGCCUGAUGCAGCCAUGCCGCGUGUGUGAAGAAGGCCUUCGGGUUGUAAAGCACUUUCAGCGGGGAGGAAGGCGGUGAGGUUAAUAACCUCAUCGAUUGACGUUACCCGCAGAAGAAGCACCGGCUAACUCCGUGCCAGCAGCCGCGGUAAUACGGAGGGUGCAAGCGUUAAUCGGAAUUACUGGGCGUAAAGCGCACGCAGGCGGUCUGUCAAGUCGGAUGUGAAAUCCCCGGGCUCAACCUGGGAACUGCAUUCGAAACUGGCAGGCUAGAGUCUUGUAGAGGGGGGUAGAAUUCCAGGUGUAGCGGUGAAAUGCGUAGAGAUCUGGAGGAAUACCAGUGGCGAAGGCGGCCCCCUGGACAAAGACUGACGCUCAGGUGCGAAAGCGUGGGGAGCAAACAGGAUUAGAUACCCGGGUAGUC
This 465-nucleotide ribosomal RNA is filed under the name uncultured Klebsiella sp. RNAcentral describes it as "bacterial SSU rRNA". It matches the Rfam family "Bacterial small subunit ribosomal RNA", at positions 338 to 795 of the family's 1533-position model. Lineage: Bacteria; Pseudomonadati; Pseudomonadota; Gammaproteobacteria; Enterobacterales; Enterobacteriaceae. The record is from RNAcentral.